UCUACCUGCUUUAGGGUGGGCUGGCGGGGGUGGGGGGGGGCGGCUGUCAAGUUCAUUGAUUUCUUCAGAUGUUCCUCCACCCCCAGGGCCUAUGGACCUAAUCUCGGAAAGACAGUUUGGCUUUCUGAGCCAAUAUGAACAAAUAUGGCCCCAGCGCGUCAUGUCUCCCGGAAGGAGAUUUGGGGACCCGGGCGAUGGGCUCACAAGUACCUUUUCUCUGUCUGCUUCCACGUCCUUUCCUGGAGGCAAUGGAUGCCAUAUGUUGGAGCCGCUCAGAAGAUCUCUCUUGAAAAUAAUACACGCUCAGCAAUACUUAUUGGGUGAUUAACUGGCCUGUGAUCGAGACAGCCGCCUGACUGUUUUGGGUUAAAGCAAGUGGAGUGGAAUAGCAUUUCGUAAUGGACGAAUCACUCAGAUAUAUGUAUUAACCAACUAUCACUUAAAUACCACAGCAACCCUGCCAAGGAGGUGUUGGUAGCCCCAUACACGAGUUCCCUGAAGUCUCAGAGCGUCUAGGUAACGUGUCUAAUGUCAACGCAGCUGGUAAAGGACAGAUUUGAAUCCAGGAUCUGCCCCUCAGCCCAGGACUCGUCCCCACCUCGAGUGGCAAAAGCCCAGUGGAAACAAAGGUGACCAAGAAAAAAAAAAAAAAAAAGGCAGGUAAGUGUAACUCUUCAGCCGUUUGUCUCGAAGGUUUUGCCGAUCCCUGAUCCAACAUCUGCAGGCUGUUUCUACUUCCUGCUGAGCCCCUUUCCAGAAGGCUCCGUCUGGAAAGGACUCCAAAUUCAGCACGGAAAGCCCGGCUCCUGGUAACCGAAGAUGGUUGGCAAAUGGUCUUUGAACAAACCUCUCUCAUGAAAUGCUGGGUCGGUUUCACAAGUACAUAAAAUAACAACGGAAUCAAAGACAUAAACAAGAACAAGCCUGUAAUCGUCACAAAGCGGGCAGGCGUGGGGGAAGGAAGGCGGCUUCUGAUGCUCUGGCCCCUCCUGUUUUCUUUGCAGGCGAGUCCAACGCUCUGGCCAUCUGUUCCUUGUUGUGGGUGGUUAAGUGAAAUGGGCUGCCAAUACAAAUAGCCCCACUUGAGGUUUGUUUGCAUAAAUUGUUUUGAAAGCUU
Long non-coding RNA from Felis catus (domestic cat), 1117 nucleotides. RefSeq lists it as uncharacterized. NCBI's taxonomy places the organism in Eukaryota, Metazoa, Chordata, Mammalia, Carnivora, Felidae. The transcript has 2 exons. The record is from RefSeq and is a predicted model, not a curated record.